Molecule: long non-coding RNA, 624 nt
Organism: Girardinichthys multiradiatus
Lineage: Eukaryota; Metazoa; Chordata; Actinopteri; Cyprinodontiformes; Goodeidae
Exons: 4
Source: RefSeq, a predicted model, not a curated record
UAGACUGUCCAACUUUAAAUGAAUACAGGCGCUGCACUUCUCUCAGCGCUGAUGAGAGGCUAUUCAAGAGAUGGGGUACAGCAGAGCAAAAGGCUCUGUCCCCGAUGGUUCUGAGCCUAGCAGAGGGGACCUGGAGGAGCCGGCCACUGGACGACCUGAGGGUGUGGGUGAAGGUUUGGAGUGGAAUGAGUUCUCAUAGAUAACAUGGAUCAUGGCCGCUGAUGCAUUUAUGGAUGUUGGAGUUUGGUGUUCCCCUGCGUGCUGAUAACCUUCUUUCACCACUAAGGGGCGCUGGAGCUGGAGGUCCGAGAGUCUGACAGGCCUUUCAAGCCAUGCUCCUUCCUGGAGAUCUCUCUAGGAUCCCCCUUCAACAGAGUCUGGACUCUGGAUCACUUUCUGACCUGGCAGCUGCCCUUGCGACGCCACCAGUCUGUUCGAGCACAACCUUUUCACCCUCCUAAGGACCCACCUGGACCAUCGGAACCCUCCAGCUGAACCUACACGGCCACUCUGUUCCAGACUUGCACCUCUCCCCCAUCAAUCUCCACCAGAACUCCUGACAACUGGCACGUUCCCACUCUCCACAUUCCUGUCUGAGCCGAGUAAAUAAAUCAUUGAUUUCAA